Molecule: ribosomal RNA, 253 nt
Filed under: uncultured bacterium
Lineage: Bacteria
Description: partial 16S ribosomal RNA
Rfam family: Bacterial small subunit ribosomal RNA
Source: RNAcentral
UACGUAGGGGGCAAGCGUUAUCCGGAUUUACUGGGUGUAAAGGGAGCGUAGGUGGCAUGGUAAGUCAGAUGUGAAAGCCCAGGGCUCAACCCUGGGACUGCAUUUGAAACUAUCAAGCUAGAGUGCAGGAGAGGUAAGUGGAAUUCCUAGUGUAGCGGUGAAAUGCGUAGAUAUUAGGAGGAACACCAGUGGCGAAGGCGGCUUACUGGACUGUAACUGACUCUGAGGCUCGAAAGCGUGGGGAGCAAACAGG